RNAcentral lists this ribosomal RNA (253 nucleotides) under uncultured bacterium. Its description in RNAcentral is "partial 16S ribosomal RNA". It matches the Rfam family "Bacterial small subunit ribosomal RNA", at positions 524 to 776 of the family's 1533-position model. The record is from RNAcentral.
UACGUAGGGGCCUAGCGUUGUCCGGAUUUAUUGGGCGUAAAGCGCUGGUAGGUGGCUUGUUAAGUCGCGUGUGAAAGCUCCAGGCUCAACCUGGAAAGUGCGCGCGAAACUGGCGAGCUUAAGUGCCGGAGAGGGUCGCGGAAUUCCCAGUGUAGAGGUGAAAUUCGUAGAUAUUGGGAGGAACACCAGAGGCGAAGGCGGCGACCUGGAAGGUAACUGACACUGAGCAGCGAAAGCGUGGGGAGCAAACAGG